CCUACGGGCGGCAGCAGUAGGGAAUCUUCCACAAUGGACGAAAGUCUGAUGGAGCAACGCCGCGUGAGUGAAGAAGGGUUUCGGCUCGUAAAGCUCUGUUGGUAGUGAAGAAAGAUAGAGGUAGUAACUGGCCUUUAUUUGACGGUAAUUACUUAGAAAGUCACGGCUAACUACGUGCCAGCAGCCGCGGUAAUACGUAGGUGGCAAGCGUUGUCCGGAUUUAUUGGGCGUAAAGCGAGUGCAGGCGGUUCAAUAAGUCUGAUGUGAAAGCCUUCGGCUCAACCGGAGAAUUGCAUCAGAAACUGUUUGACUUGAGUGCAGAAGGGGAGAGUGGAACUCCAUGUGUAGCGGUGGAAUGCGUAGAUAUAUGGAAGAACACCAGUGGCGAAGGCGGCUCUCUGGUCUGCAACUGACGCUGAGGCUCGAAAGCAUGGGUAGCGAACAGGAUUAGAUACCCCUGUAGUC
Molecule: ribosomal RNA, 465 nt
Filed under: uncultured bacterium
Lineage: Bacteria
Description: partial 16S ribosomal RNA
Rfam family: Bacterial small subunit ribosomal RNA
Source: RNAcentral